AUGAUAUGAUUAUUUUUUUUUAAUUUCAGACACAGUCCUGGAUUGAAAAAGUGAGUUGUAAUUUUCUAUCUGUAAAUAGUUCAAAUAAACUCAGCACAGAUACCAGGAUCAAAAUUUUAUAUCUACAACAGAUGCGCAUCAGUGAUGCUCGAAUCAAAAAAUGUUUAAAAGGCCAAAUAUUAUAUUAAGUUGUCAAUUUUCACACUUUCACUCACCACUCAACAUUCCUUCUGUGAAACACAUGCAUUUCCUUAUAAAGAAAAUGUUGGCUUUUACCGUUAGAUGAACCUAUCUUUUGGCAUUUACCCUUUAUUUAGUCAGGAAUUGACCUUUUUAGACAUCAAUAACUUUAUUAAACCUUCAAUCAAAGUUUUUAAAUUUGGAAGAAUCUUCUUUAAAAUUUAAACUAAACAAGAAUGUGUCCUCAGUACACGAAUGCCCCACUCGCACUAUCAUUUUCCAUGUUCAGUGGACCGUGAAAUUGGGGUAAAAACUCUAGUUUGGCAUUAAAAUUAGAAAGAUCAUAUCAUAGGGGACAUGUGUACUAAGUUUGAAGUCGAUUGGACUUAAACUUCAUCAAAAACUACCUUGACCAAAAACUUUAACCUGAAGCGGGACAGACGGACGGACGAACGGACAGACGGAUGGACGAACGAACAGACGGACGGACGGACGGACGCACAGACCAGAAAACAUAAUGCCCCUCUACUAUCGUAGGUGGGGCAUAAAAAUAACAAAAGUUUAAGGGAAUUUCAAAACAGAAAAUCCCUUAAAAGUGCUCACUUAUAUGACAGUUGCAUAGAAUUCCAUUAUAUUGACAAUAAUGUGUGAAUAAAACAAACAUAUAAUAUAAGAGUUGUCUCAUUUGCAAUCAUUUCACAUCUUUUAUAUAUAUAAUAGGUAAAAAUGUCAAAAAUAGGGGUACAGUAGUCAACAUUUUGUUAAAAUCUUACUCACCAUAAAACAAACAAAUGUGUCAACGAAGAAAAACAAAAAAGCAUAUAAACAGGGCACAUAUUGAAUAUCUUUUAUCAGUAUGUGCACAAAUAUAAAUUUAAGUUAUCAUACUUGGUCAUUUCCUUGUUUCAGAAAUAAAGUUGGCCAUUCUGAUGGUAAAGGAAGUCUUACAGAUUGGUGAAGAACUGUUGAUGGAAUUAUCCUGUCACAGAUAGAGGAAAUUAAAUGAUCCUUUAUGCUGAAGUUCAAAUUUUAUUUAUAAAUUAUAAUUUCUCAGAGUUCUACAUAUUAACAGGCUGCAUUUUUUUCAGGAGAACAAAACAAUAGUUUUUAGUUGGAUUUGUGUUUGUAAAGGCACUAUAUUAUGUUGGACUUUUAAUUUAAUGAUGUUAACUUUACUGUAUUUUUUAUAUGGCCUGAUACAUGUAUUUGAUGUCUAACUGGAAAAAUUUUAGAACUGAAGAAACUUUAAAUAUCCCCUGAAAUAACACAAAAUUAGGAACAUCAUAGGAGUAAACACCAAGGUAUCCAUGAAGUCCUCACACGACUUAGGCCUAAACUAAAAUAUUGUUUGUUUGCCCUUUUCUGACCCUAUGUUUUGAAAUAGGGUAGGUAGGUAGGUAAAAUAUUUUCUUUUUCUUUCCCAAAAUAACUUAGCUCAGUACAUUUUAUGUCAUGGGUAGGCAGGUAGGUAUAAUAUUUUAUUUUAUAGAUACAAAAUCUGUAUUGUCAUUUUUGUUUGUAUUGCUUUUGUUUAAGUAUGCCUUUGUUAUUAAGUUUCUGGGACUAUUAUAAAGUAUAAUAGUCCCAGGAAGUUUGAAAAAAAAUUAUCAUGUAGAAUGUGAAGCACUACUAUUUUGUAUUUAAAUAUCAAAAUAUAGGGCUGUGCGGCAUAUUUUCGUUAAUAUGCCUGGAACUUUUAAGAGUUUUGACUUACACUAAUAUUCUGUAUUAGGUACCUUGUACGCUUACCUCAACCUAAAGGUUUUUGGAAGAGAUAAUUUUGUCCUGGUAAAAUAUGUCCGGGGGGAGACAUACAUAACUGACUAUUAGAAAAAGUCCCUAGAGUGUUUAAAUUUUUUGUGUGUGCCUGUGUUUCCAAUAAAAAUGCUACAAGACUUGAAACUCAAUUGUCACAAUAUUUUACAUCGCAUUUAUAUAAAUGAUCUGUACGGAAAAACUUGGCGAUUUUACUGCCAAUAUUCUCCACUUUACAGACCUUUGGUUCAUGUCAGAUAUAAAUGAUAUAUCAAUGCUAGUUGAAGGCAUCGUUAACAUAAUCAUCCUGAUCUACGGAUCACCAAAGGCCAUCCCUACAUAGGAUACAGCGUCUGUUUAUGAAAUAUUUUGUACACACGUUGAUAAUUUUAUAUUGGACGAACUUUUUUUUUAAUGAACCAUGCUCUUCAAGUAAAAGAUGCUGAGUAAUGUUUGUCCUAUCAUGAUUUCAUAGUUUUCAACAUCAAUUUCAAACAAAUGCCUUGAAACUCUAAAUGCAAGUGUUCAUGUCAAACGCUCAUGUGAUACCAAACAGACUAGACCUUAUACAAAUAUAAGACUUUUGGUAGGAACAAAAAAAUAAAAUAAAAUAAAAUAAAAUCUUGCUGGUAAAUACAAAUAAAAGAUUUUAGUCUAUUGUUUAAGUUUUUGAAGGCAUCAAUAGCUUUGUCAAACCUUUCAUGAAAUUUGACAAGAGCCUUUUUCACCACCUAAAGACAGUUUUAUACAGAGAAAAGAAUUUUAUUUUUCUGCAAUUUACUAAUAGAGGACUCUAAAGUUAGCAUUUAGAUAAAGUCCUAAGUUCACAGUUUUUCAUUCAUCAAUACUUUGUCAAACUUUCAUGGACUUUAGUUAACCAGGAUGGGUGUUUUUUUUCAUCAAAAGAGUAUCUAGAGCAAAAUUCCAGUGCAUUAUAUAACAUAUAAUAUGUUUUUUAUUUUUGUUUAAAUUUGUAUUGUUUUUAUUAUUUCAUUAUUAUAAUUUUUAUUUUUUAUUUUUUUGAAUCCUAGAUGUACUUUGUCUGGCCUGCAAUAAGUUGCAGAAUGCAAGACAUAAGGAUGACAAUCCGUCCGCAUAAAUUAUUUGAAUAAAGUUUAUUUUUCAAAUGGUA
Molecule: long non-coding RNA, 3067 nt
Filed under: Mytilus galloprovincialis (Mediterranean mussel)
Lineage: Eukaryota; Metazoa; Mollusca; Bivalvia; Mytilida; Mytilidae
Source: RNAcentral